UUUAUGGAGAGUUUGAUCCUGGCUCAGGAUGAACGCUGGCGGCGUGCCUAAUACAUGCAAGUCGAGCGAACGGACGAGAAGCUUGCUUCUCUGAUUGUUAGCGGCGGACGGGUGAGUAACACGUGGAUAACCUACCUAUAAGACUGGGAUAACUUCGGGAAACCGGAGCUAAUACCGGAUAAUAUUUUGAACCGCAUG
RNAcentral lists this ribosomal RNA (198 nucleotides) under Staphylococcus aureus. RNAcentral describes it as "partial 16S ribosomal RNA". It matches the Rfam family "Bacterial small subunit ribosomal RNA", at positions 1 to 192 of the family's 1533-position model. The record is from RNAcentral. Lineage: Bacteria; Bacillati; Bacillota; Bacilli; Caryophanales; Staphylococcaceae.